This 69-nucleotide transfer RNA is filed under the name Triticum aestivum (bread wheat). It matches the Rfam family "tRNA". Rfam says of the family: Transfer RNA (tRNA) molecules are approximately 80 nucleotides in length. Their secondary structure includes four short double-helical elements and three loops (D, anti-codon, and T loops). RNAcentral also lists the same sequence under 1 other name. Lineage: Eukaryota; Viridiplantae; Streptophyta; Magnoliopsida; Poales; Poaceae. The record is from Rfam by way of RNAcentral.
UCUAUUGCUUAGUUGGUAAAGCACAAAGCUCUUAACCUUGUGGACGUGGGUUCAAGCCCUAUGAUAGAG